RNAcentral lists this long non-coding RNA (656 nucleotides) under Ananas comosus (pineapple). RNAcentral's name for it is "long non-coding RNA (ACOM_LNC021169)". The record is from RNAcentral. Lineage: Eukaryota; Viridiplantae; Streptophyta; Magnoliopsida; Poales; Bromeliaceae.
UGGAAUGAUGCGUGCAAGAGAAGCUUCCAAGAGUUGAAGCAGAGAUUGACGACCGCCCCGAUCUUGACCCUACCAGUAGCUGGAGCAGGGUAUGUGGUUUAUAGUGAUGCUUCACUUAAUGGAUUGGGCUGUGUAUUUGUAACAUACCACGUCCCUCGUAAAUCGUGCCGAGUUCCGUCGAAAUGAGCGGAACCCGGAGUGGAGCGAGUUAGCAUGGACCCUAGGAGCAUUAGAGUCCAUAAAUGGAGCUAAAGGGACCCGAGAGAGCAAAUCUGAAAAUCUGGCUAAGUCCCAGAUUUCGAGCUCUCGGGGACCGGUCCCUGAAGGAGAGACCGGUCCCCGUACGCGUAGCCUGCCAGGAAGUCCUGAGGCAACCGGUCCCUGGUGGUGAGACCGGUCCUCGGGAGACCGGUCCUGGAGAGGCAGACCGGUCCCUCACUGCGCAGCAGCUGAAAAACCCGAAAAUUUGGCUAAGUCCUGAAAACCCCACGUUCGGGAACCGGUCCCUGGUCGGGGAGACCGGUCCCCGAAAGCGAAAAAUGCCCAGUCUGGGCAGAUCAUGGGAAAUAAGUGGAGGGGCUUAAGUGCAAUUGUUAUAACACUUUAUAUGGGCCAUCCCCUCUCUCCCACAGCCAUUUCCCUCCUCCUCUCUCAUU